This 504-nucleotide ribosomal RNA is filed under the name uncultured bacterium. RNAcentral's name for it is "partial 16S ribosomal RNA". It matches the Rfam family "Bacterial small subunit ribosomal RNA", at positions 28 to 523 of the family's 1533-position model. The record is from RNAcentral.
GAUGAACGCUAGCGACAGGCUUAACACAUGCAAGUCGAGGGGCAGCACGGGAGUAGCAAUACAACUGGUGGCGACCGGCGCACGGGUGAGUAACGCGUAUGCAACCUACCUAUCAGAAGGGAAUAACCCGGCGAAAGUCGGACUAAUACCGCAUAAAACAGGGGCACCGCAUGGUGAUAUUUGUUAAAGAAAUUCGCUGAUAGAUGGGCAUGCGUUACAUUAGGUAGUUGGUGAGGUAACGGCUCACCAAGCCGACGAUGGAUAGGGGAACUGAGAGGUUGGUCCCCCACACUGGUACUGAGACACGGACCAGACUCCUACGGGAGGCAGCAGUGAGGAAUAUUGGUCAAUGGGCGAGAGCCUGAACCAGCCAAGUCGCGUGAAGGAAGAAGGAUCUAUGGUUCGUAAACUUCUUUUGCAGGGGAAUAAAGUGCAGGACGUGUCCUGUUUUGUAUGUACCCUGAGAAUAAGGAUCGGCUAACUCCGUGCCAGCCGCCGCGGUAA